Molecule: small nuclear RNA, 112 nt
Filed under: Babesia sp. Xinjiang
Lineage: Eukaryota; Apicomplexa; Aconoidasida; Piroplasmida; Babesiidae
Description: U5 spliceosomal RNA
Rfam family: U5 spliceosomal RNA
About the family: U5 RNA is a component of both types of known spliceosome. The precise function of this molecule is unknown, though it is known that the 5' loop is required for splice site selection and p220 binding, and that both the 3' stem-loop and the Sm site are important for Sm protein binding and cap methylation.
Source: Rfam by way of RNAcentral
UCGCAGCGGUCGCCGCAUUCCGCAUCAAUCUUUCGCCUUUUACUAAAGAUUGCCGUGCGGCGUCCGCAUUCAAUGCAACUUGUUCAUUUUUUUUCUGGCGCUCCGGCGCCUA